Molecule: long non-coding RNA, 540 nt
Filed under: Amborella trichopoda
Lineage: Eukaryota; Viridiplantae; Streptophyta; Magnoliopsida; Amborellales; Amborellaceae
Description: long non-coding RNA (ATRI_LNC001622)
Source: RNAcentral
AGGAAUAGAUCAUAUAUCUGGCAACCCACACCCGACAACAAGCUUAAAAUUCAGGAUUGGGCCUCGAUUGCAAAUAUGUAAGGUCCUUCACUUUGACAAGAACCUGAUAACAAAUACACUAGAAAACUACCAGAAACAUGGAAGAUUGGGGAUAGGCCCCCUAACAAACACAUAUGGGGCCCCAAAUUUUAAGAGCUUCUUUUUCGAUGAUUGAGGACCUCCUGAAUAAAAUCUGAGCUCCAAGUUUGGUUUCUCAUAAAUGGACGGCCAAUAAGAGAACAUGAUUAAAGCAAGUUGAAACAGAAGCAAGCAUAGGUAGCUUGUCGAGACCAGAUCGAGCAAAAACUACUUGUCUCGAUCAUGGGGUGCCUUUUGAAGGAGUAUGGUGAAGACCUUGAAAUCUCCUUAUCUCAGUUUAACAUGGGUGAGGACCCUAACAUCACCACAUAUCCCCAUUUCCACCAUCAAUCACCCCAAGGCAUGACAUACCUUGCGCAUUCCCCAGACUCUGCGAGGCUAUCAACCAUGGGUGCAACCCUG